GGUUGGUCAGAGUGCAGUGGUGUUUACAACUAAUUUAUUACAAUCAGUUACAGAUUCCUUUGUUCCUUCUCCACUCCCACUGCUCCACUUGACCAGCCUUAA
Unclassified non-coding RNA from Microcebus murinus (gray mouse lemur), 102 nucleotides. It matches the Rfam family "Y RNA". Rfam says of the family: Y RNAs are components of the Ro ribonucleoprotein particle (Ro RNP), in association with Ro60 and La proteins. The record is from Ensembl. Lineage: Eukaryota; Metazoa; Chordata; Mammalia; Primates; Cheirogaleidae.